Molecule: ribosomal RNA, 292 nt
Filed under: uncultured bacterium
Lineage: Bacteria
Description: partial 16S ribosomal RNA
Rfam family: Bacterial small subunit ribosomal RNA
Source: RNAcentral
GUGUCAGCAGCCGCGGUAAUACGUAGGGUGCGAGCGUUAAUCGGAAUUACUGGGCGUAAAGCGUGCGCAGGCGGCCUCUUAAGCCAGAUGUGAAAUCCCCGGGCUUAACCUGGGAACUGCGUUUGGAACUGGGAGGCUAGAGUGUGGCAGAGGGGGGUGGAAUUCCCGGUGUAGCAGUGAAAUGCGUAGAUAUCGGGAGGAACAUCAAUGGCGAAGGCAGCCCCCUGGGUUAACACUGACGCUCAUGCACGAAAGCGUGGGGAGCAAACAGGAUUAGAAACCCCCGUAGUCC